RNAcentral lists this ribosomal RNA (435 nucleotides) under uncultured bacterium. RNAcentral describes it as "partial 16S ribosomal RNA". It matches the Rfam family "Bacterial small subunit ribosomal RNA", at positions 29 to 507 of the family's 1533-position model. The record is from RNAcentral.
AGCGAACGCUGGCGGCAGGCUUAACACAUGCAAGUCGAACGCAUCACUUCGGUGGUGAGUGGCAGACGGGUGAGUAACACGUGGGAACGUACCCUUCGAUCUGGGAUAACUUCGGGAAACUGGAGCUAAUACCGGAUACGCCCUUUUGGGGAAAGGUUUACGGUCGUAGGAUCGGCCCGCGUCUGAUUUGCUAGUUGGUGGGGUAACGGCCUACCAAGGCGACGAUCAGUAGCUGGUCUGAGAGGAUGAUCAGCCACACUGGGACUGAGACACGGCCCAGACUCCUACGGGAGGCAGCAGUGGGGAAUAUUGGACAAUGGGCGCAAGCCUGAUCCAGCCAUGCCGCGUGAGUGAUGAAGGCCUUAGGGUUGUAAAGCUCUUUUGUCCGGGACGAUAAUGACGGUACCGGAAGAAUAAGCCCCGGCUAACUUCGUG